CAGUACACUCAUCCAUAAAGUAGGAAACACUACACUGUGGCGAGGAGUUUAGUAGUGCUUUCUACUUUAUGGAUGACUGCACUGU
This is a non-coding RNA of Larimichthys crocea (large yellow croaker), 85 nucleotides long. The record is from Rfam. NCBI's taxonomy places the organism in Eukaryota, Metazoa, Chordata, Actinopteri, Sciaenidae.